RNAcentral lists this ribosomal RNA (864 nucleotides) under uncultured archaeon. RNAcentral's name for it is "SSU rRNA". It matches the Rfam family "Archaeal small subunit ribosomal RNA", at positions 474 to 1337 of the family's 1478-position model. The record is from RNAcentral.
AACCAGCACCUCAAGUGGUCAGGAUGAUUAUUGGGCCUAAAGCAUCCGUAGCCGGCUCUGUAAGUUUUCGGUUAAAUCUGUACGCCUAACGUACAGGCUGCCGGGAAUACUGCAGAGCUAGGUAGUGGGAGAGGUAGACGGUACUCGGUAGGAAGGGGUAAAAUCCUUUGAUCUAUUGAUGACCACCUGUGGCGAAGGCGGUCUACCAGAACACGUACGACGGUGAGGGAUGAAAGCUGGGGGAGCAAACCGGAUUAGAUACCCGGGUAGUCCCAGCUGUAAACUAUGCAAACUCAGUGAUGCAUUGGCUUGAGGCCAAUGCAGUGCUGCAGGGAAGCCGUUAAGUUUGCCGCCUGGGAAGUACGUACGCAAGUAUGAAACUUAAAGGAAUUGGCGGGGGAGCACCACAAGGGGUGAAGCCUGCGGUUCAAUUGGAGUCAACGCCAGAAAUCUUACCCGGAGAGACAGCAGAAUGAAGGUCAAGCUGAAGACUUUACCAGACAAGCUGAGAGGUGGUGCAUGGCCGUCGCCAGCUCGUGCCGUGAGAUGUCCUGUUAAGUCAGGUAACGAGCGAGAUCCCUGCCUCUAGUUGCCACCAUUACUCUCAGGAGUAGUGGGGCGAAUUAGCGGGACCGCCGCAGUUAAUGCGGAGGAAGGAAGGGGCCACGGCAGGUCAGUAUGCCCCGAAACUCUGGGGCCACACGCGGGCUGCAAUGGUAACGACAAUGGGUUUCGAAUUCGAAAGGAUGAGGUAAUCCUCAAACGUUACCACAGUUAUGACUGAGGGCUGCAACUCGCCCUCACGAAUAUGGAAUCCCUAGUAACUGCGUGUCACUAUCGCGCGGUGAAUACGUCCCUGCUCCU